This is a long non-coding RNA of Oenanthe melanoleuca, 1355 nucleotides long. RefSeq lists it as uncharacterized. The record is from RefSeq and is a predicted model, not a curated record. The transcript is spliced from 8 exons. NCBI's taxonomy places the organism in Eukaryota, Metazoa, Chordata, Aves, Passeriformes, Muscicapidae.
AGAAGGGAGAGGUGUAAAGAAAAAGAAAUAAAGAAGAAUUGAAAUAUAGAGGAAGAGAGAGACAGAGCCCGACCCGCGCACCACGAACUCCGAGGAGCAAAUGGCUCCGCCGGGCUCGCGCCGCCGUUUAAAUCCCGUUCAGCCCCGCCCCGCGCAUGCGCUCUGGGGCCCCGCGCACCUGUGCAGGCCCCGCCCCGCGCACCUGUGCAGGCUCCGCCCCGCGCACCUGUGCAGGCCCCGCCCCCGGCCCCGCCCCCGCCCGCGCCCUUUAAACGCGGCCGAGCCGCUCCCGGCCCGCUCCAUUCGGGAACGCUCGUGCUGGGAUGCGGCGGGAUCCUCGUCCGGGCGCGACCCAGGGACCGCUCCCGGUGCUGCCCGAAUCCUGAGGCGCUCAGAUCACAGGAUAUAGUGGGGUCGAGAAGGUUCCUAAAAUCUGGCUCUCAAGUACACAGCAUGUGGCAGAAUUGAACUCACAUCCUGGGCAGUACCUGGACUCUGCUCCAACUGACUGAACCAGUCUCUGGGUCACAGGAUUUACCCACCAGCUGCAGAUUUGCUCUUGCCAAGUCCUUUUGCAGGGAGAAAUGAGCAGGAAGAUCCUGAGGCUUCCCUUGCUGCAUGACCAGGGCUCUUCUGGAGAGUGGCAGGGGGCAUUUCCUGCAGGCUCCUGGAGAUGCUUCAGCCUGGACACAGCCACUGACAGCCCAAAGGCAGCCCAAGGAGCAGCUGGCACUGCCUGGUGAUGGCAGCACGGGCUGUGUGUAGAGGGGCUCAGACAGCAAUUCCUGGUUCCAGCCUCCAGAGCUCCCAGGCAGCUGCCAGGUAUGUCCUGUCCACCCCAAUUCCCUUCCCUUCCAGCCUGAGGCCAUCACCCAGCAGCAGCACUAAAGCCAAGGCAGUCUUACCUCACAGAUACUGAAUCCAACCAACAGCCUGCAGAGAUGCCUUAAAAUCAGAGGUUUGGCUGGGAUGAAGUCUUGUUUGGAUGAAGGUGGGAGUUUCCAGGGAGCCAGCUGGAAGUGCAGAAGGGAUGGAAAGCUUUCCCAGCUUGUAAAACUUAUCCUGGAAUUCAGAGGUCAAGCAGGGCUGGCUUUGGAUUGACCUUCACCUCUGGUCCCACUUUGUGCAAACACAACUCGUGCCAGGUGCUGGACUUGUCUCUGUGGAUGUGUGCUGAGCUCUCACUGCAGGGGACUGUCAGGCCUGACUGGCUCUGUUCCCUGAUGUCAUUUCCCUGCCUCACUUCAGUGCAGCUCCUAGCUGGGAAAAACUGGGAUAACUUAGAGGGGACAGAGAGCUGAGAAGGAAAUCAGAAGUGAGCCUUGCAGUUCAUAGGAAGACUUUUUGAAGCAGGA